GAGCGGGAAAAGCUCAAAUUUAAAAUCUGGCUGCCUUCGGUGGUCCGAGUUGUAAUCUGGAGAAGCGUUUUCCGCGUCGGACCGUGUACAAGUCUUCUGGAACGGAGCGUCAUAGAGGGUGAGAAUCCCGUCUCUGACACGGACUACCGAUGCUUUUGUGAUGCGCUCUCGAAGAGUCGAGUUGUUUGGGAAUGCAGCUCAAAAUGGGAGGUAAAUUCCUUCUAAAGCUAAAUAUUGGCUAGAGACCGAUAGCGAACAAGUACCGUGAGGGAAAGAUGAAAAGCACUUUGGAAAGAGAGUUAAACAGUACGUGAAAUUGUUGAAAGGGAAACGCUUGAAGUCAGUCGCGUUGAUCGAGACUCAGCCUGGCUUGCCUGGUGUACUUCUCGGUUGACGGGUCAGCAUCAGUUUUGACCGCCGGAUAAAGGUUGGAGGAAUGUGGCAUCUCUCGGGAUGUGUUAUAGCCUCUGAUUCGCAUACGGCGAUUGGGACUGAGGAACUCAGCACGCCUUUAUGGUCGGGGUUCGCCCACGUAACGUGCUUAGGAUGCUGGCAUAAUGGCUUUAAGCGACCCGUCUUGAAACACGGACCAAGGAGUCUAACAUGCCCGCGAGUGUUUGGGUGUCAAACCCGAGCGCGUAAUGAAAGUGAAAGUUGAGAUCCCUGUCGUGGGAGC
This 676-nucleotide ribosomal RNA is filed under the name Athelia arachnoidea. Its description in RNAcentral is "partial large subunit ribosomal RNA". It matches the Rfam family "Eukaryotic large subunit ribosomal RNA", at positions 96 to 756 of the family's 3401-position model. The record is from RNAcentral. Lineage: Eukaryota; Fungi; Basidiomycota; Agaricomycetes; Atheliales; Atheliaceae.